UCGACGCAACUGACGACGUGUUUUAGGAGCAGGAUAGCUAGCAAUAGCAUCCACCUUGCUAGCAAUAGGACGCACUUGGCCACGACCCACCUGUUUCCCCAGAUAUGUUACAGUAGCCUUACCGAAUUCACAUUUAGCCAAGUUGAGGGUUAACGAAGCGUUUUCCAAACGCUGGAACACCAAUCUCAACGUAGAGAGGUGUUCAGCCCAUGUAGGUGAGUAUAUUACUACGUCGUCAAGGUAAGCUGUACAGUUGGAAACGUCAUCAAACACAAUAUUAACUAAACUCUGAAAAGUAGCGGGUGCAUUGCACAUUCCAAAUGGCAUAACUGUAUACUGUACAAAGUUAUCAGGAGUCACAAAAGCCGAAAUGUCAGAAGCCCGUGGGGUUAGAGGCACCUGCCAAUAACCUUUAAGCAAAUCAAGUUUACUUACAAAAACAGCCGAACCAAUCCGGUCAAUACAGUCUUCUAUCCUAGGCAGCGGAUAGGAAUCUGGCACCGUUACUGCAUUUACUCGACGGUAGUCCGUACAUAAACGGGACGUGCCGUCUGGUUUCGGAACUAAAAUACACGGGGAGCUCCAAGCACUAUGACUACGUUUUGCCAUGUCAUGUUUUAACAAGUAUUCAACCUCACCUUUCAUUAACUCACGUUUUUUUGUGUUUACCCGAUAGGGAUGUUGGCGAAUAGGAGAUGUACUACCUACAUCCACAUCGUGCGCCAAAACAGAUGUGCUCUUAGGUACAUCUUGGAACACAGUAAGAAAAGAAUGUAUUAGAGACACAAGAUCAUCUUUUUGACUGUCAUCCAAAUGUUCCAUUAAUGAAGGUCCACAGUCGGCACAGGCACCACCAACGCCAUGCUAGACCCCGCAGACUGAACCGGAGCACUAGAGGGGUUGUCGGAAGAAUUACGCACAUGAUAGGCUUUAAGCAUAUUGACAUGACACAAACGAGAAGAGCGCCUGGUGUCUGGUGUUUUGAUAAUAUAAUUAGUAUCACUAACUUUGCGCUCCACAACAUACGGUCCAGAAAAACUGGCAGACAGUGAUGAACCUGGAAUUGGUAACAAAACCAGUACUUGAUCCCCGGGCAAAAACGCACGGUCUUUUGCUUGUUUAUCAUACUGUUUUUUCAUACGUGACUGAGAGGAAGAGAGAGACUCCUGAGCUAGCAUGCAGGCAGCAUGCAGCCUCUCCCGCAUCUGACUUACAAAGUGUAACACAUUCUUAGGGGUACUACUAGGCGCAUUAGAUAAAACGCGCUCCUUUAACACUUUUAACGGACCCCUAGGUGUGUGUCCGAACACAAGGUCAGCAGGGCUGAACCCCAACGAUUCCUGCACUGUUUCCCUAACAGCAAACAAAACAAAGGGCACCCCCUCAUCCCAAUCAGCACCCGUUUCCAUACAAUACUUCCUCAGCAUGGUUUUGAGCGUCUGGUGCCAGCGUUCCAGAGCUCCCUGACUCUCUGGGUGGUAAGCGCUGGAGACCUGGUGCGAUAUGGACAAUGUUUUUAAUGCAGAAGAAAACAGUUUGGACAUGAAAUUAGUUCCUUGAUCCGUCUGGAUCACUCUGGGGAGACCAAAGGUGGAAAAGAACUUAAUCAGACUCUUAAUAAUUGUCUUAGCUGUAAUUAUCCGGAGAGGAAUAGCCUCCGGGUACCGAGUGGCGCUGCACAUAAUGGUAAGCAGAAACUGGUUACCUGUUCGAGUUUUUGGUAAUGGACCCACACAGUCAACAAUCACCCUCUCAAACGGUUCUCCAAUCACAGGAAUCGGGUGAAGUGGCACACGAGGAACAGGUUGGUUCACUUUCCCUGCAAGUUGACAUACAUGACAGGUUUUACAGUAUUGCACAAUGUCUGAUUUUAAUCCUGGCCAGAAGAAAUGUCGGAGGACUCUGUUGUAUGUCUUAGUUACCCCUAAAUGUCCGGACCAUGCAGGGUUAUGAGCCAGUGACAAUACUUGCUGCCGUAAUGGUGAUGGAACAACUACCUGCCAAACUGUAUCCCAGUCCUCACCUGUUUUAUGUGCAGUCCAUUUACGCAUUAGAACACCAGCGUCCACAAGGUAAGCAGUCUCCUGUACUUUUGCGUUUUCAAAAGAGACCACAGAAUCAAAGCACUUAUUAAGGCUGACAUCCUCUUUUUGCCACUCAAUCAGCCUCUCUGAUGUGAUGGAUGACAACACAUCACCUAACUGGGGAGCGACCCCGCAUCCCCCUUUCUCAGCCUGCACAGAAGGUAAUCCCUCUGGUUUACUCUCUACAUCUACAGUUACACCCCGUUCAAAAACAGUAUCAGACAAAUUCACUGUAUCACACUGUAUUCACAAUUGAUUAUUGAUCCCAAUUAUGGAAGAUUUGCUUCUAUCUGUCCAAUAUUCAUAGCUCUGUGUCUGUUUUAAAAUGUUGGAAAAUCUCAACAUGCCUAAUUGCUAGAGUACAUGACCCCCAUUUCCUUCCAACUCAGCCUCCCCUAUACUUGACUCAGUUGAAACUGCAACACAAUUAUUCUUGUCUCUCAUAUAUUAUAAGAACACAUGUAAACUAAGCUUAAAGUACACA
Long non-coding RNA from Cyprinus carpio carpio, 2568 nucleotides. NCBI's taxonomy places the organism in Eukaryota, Metazoa, Chordata, Actinopteri, Cypriniformes, Cyprinidae. The record is from Ensembl.